Molecule: ribosomal RNA, 542 nt
Filed under: Vibrio campbellii ATCC BAA-1116
Lineage: Bacteria; Pseudomonadati; Pseudomonadota; Gammaproteobacteria; Vibrionales; Vibrionaceae
Description: SSU rRNA
Rfam family: Bacterial small subunit ribosomal RNA
Source: RNAcentral
AGAUUGAACGCUGGCGGCAGGCCUAACACAUGCAAGUCGAGCGGAAACGAGUUAUCUGAACCUUCGGGGAACGAUAGCGGCGUCGAGCGGCGGACGGGUGAGUAAUGCCUAGGAAAUUGCCCUGAUGUGGGGGAUAACCAUUGGAAACGAUGGCUAAUACCGCAUAAUGCCUACGGGCCAAAGAGGGGGACCUUCGGGCCUCUCGCGUCAGGAUAUGCCUAGGUGGGAUUAGCUAGUUGGUGAGGUAAGGGCUCACCAAGGCGACGAUCCCUAGCUGGUCUGAGAGGAUGAUCAGCCACACUGGAACUGAGACACGGUCCAGACUCCUACGGGAGGCAGCAGUGGGGAAUAUUGCACAAUGGGCGCAAGCCUGAUGCAGCCAUGCCGCGUGUGUGAAGAAGGCCUUCGGGUUGUAAAGCACUUUCAGUCGUGAGGAAGGUAGUGUAGUUAAUAGCUGCAUUAUUUGACGUUAGCGACAGAAGAAGCACCGGCUAACUCCGUGCCAGCAGCCGCGGUAAUACGGAGGGUGCGAGCGUUAAUCG